This 252-nucleotide unclassified non-coding RNA is filed under the name fungal sp. Its description in RNAcentral is "partial internal transcribed spacer region". The stretch from base 1 to 46 matches the Rfam family "Eukaryotic small subunit ribosomal RNA", at positions 1786 to 1831 of the family's 1831-position model. Lineage: Eukaryota; Fungi. The record is from RNAcentral.
AAGUCGUAACAAGGUCUCCGUUGGUGAACCAGCGGAGGGAUCAUUACCGAGUUUUCAACUCCCAAACCCAUGUGAACCUGUACCUCUCAGUUGCUUCGGCGGGUUUAAACGCCCCGGGACCGCGCCCAGCGGACCGGAACCAGGCGCCCGCCGGGGGACCCAAACUCUGUGUUUCUUGCGAACGUAUUUCUGAGUGGGAUUUUUACAAAAUCAAAUGAAUCAAAACUUUCAACAACGGAUCUCUUGGUUCUG